Non-coding RNA from Pseudopodoces humilis (Tibetan ground-tit), 2559 nucleotides. The record is from RefSeq and is a predicted model, not a curated record. NCBI's taxonomy places the organism in Eukaryota, Metazoa, Chordata, Aves, Passeriformes, Paridae.
CACCAACAUGGCGGCUGCCUGACCGCUGCCCCGCCGCCACCGACACGGGGAGCGGGGGAGCGCCGCCGCCCGCCCGGCCGCACACAGGUUGUGCCAAGGAAUAAACCAAGAAAAAGCUUUGUUUUAUCCUAGCAUGGCAAAUGAGGAAGAUGAUCCAAUUAUACAAGAGAUUGACGUAUUCCUGGCCAGAAGUCUACUGGAGAAGCUCUAUCUGUUUCAGUAUCCCAUUCGCCCAGCUUCCAUGACCUACGAUGAUGUUACACAUUUAUCAGCGAAGAUAAAACCAAAGCAGCAAAAGGUUGAACUCGAAAUGGCCAUUGAUACUUUGAAUCCUAACUACUGUCGCAGCAAGGGAGAGCAGAUCGCUCUCAACGUGGAUGGCACAUGUACAGAUGAAACAAGCACCUAUUCCUCGAAGCUGAUGGACAAGCAAACUUUCUGCUCUUCCCAAGCUGCCAGUAAUGUUUCCCGCUAUGCAGCUGCUGUUUAUAAAAAAGGUGAACUUCACUUGACUCCACUACAUGGAAUUCUUCAGCUGAGGCCAAGCUUCACCUACUUGGACAAGGCUGAUGCAAAACACAGAGAAAGAGAAGCUGCUAAUGAAGGUGGUGAUUCAUCCCAGGAUGAAGCUGAAGAUGAUGUUAAACAAAUUACUGUCCGAUUCUCCCGCCCUGAGACCGAACAAGCUCGACAGCGACGUGUUCAGUCCUAUGAGUUCUUGCAGAAGAGACAAGCAGAAGAGCACUGGGUUCAUCUGCAUUAUUAUGGCUUGAAGGAUAGCCGUUCUGAACAUGAGCGCCAGUAUUUAUUUAGUCAAGGUCAUGGCCUUGCUGAAAACACUGAAUUAAUUAAAACUCCCAGUGAAUAUUUAAUGAUGCUGAUGCCUCCAAGCGUAGAGGAAGAGAAUAACAAACCAAUGGCUCCAAGCAACGUGCUUUCUAUGGCCCAGCUGAGAACUUUACCCCUUGCUGAUCAGAUCAAGAUCCUGAUGAAGAACGUGAAGGUGAUGCCGUUCGCCAACCUGCUGAGUCUGCUGGGCUCGGGCACCGACCCCACGGCCGUGCUGCGCUGCGUGCAGCAGGUGGCGCUGCUGGUCCAGGGAAACUGGGUGGUGAAGAGUGAUGUUCUCUACCCGAAAGAUACUUCUAGUCCCCAUAGUGGAGUUCCUGCAGAAGUACUCUGUAGAGGGAGAGAUUUUGUUAUGUGGAAGUUCACACAGGACCGCUGGGUUGUGAGAAAGGAAGUAGCAGCAGUUACAAAACUUUGCCCAGAAGAUGUGAAAGACUUCCUAGAGCACAUGUCUGUGGCAAGAAUAAACAAAGGUUGGGAGUUCAUGCUUCCUUACGAUGAAGAUUUUGUUAAGAAGCAUCCAGAUAUCGUUCAGAGGCAACAGAUGCUGUGGAUGGGCAUUCAGGCCAAGUUAGAAAAGGUCUAUAAUCUCUUAAAGGAGCACUUGACACCAAAGAAACAAGAGGCACAAUCAGCUCAUCCGUUGCUGGUUUCUGGGGAGCAAAGGGUCAACAUGGCUAAAGCAAAAGUCAAGCAGAACUAUGGGCAGCUGGAGAAGGAGUUCCAGAAGCAGAAGGCAGAGAUGAAAUCAAACGACGCCUCUGCCAAGACGGAUGUUCCAAAUAUCCACAUUAAAGAGGAGCCUGUGAGUGUGGAGGAGCCCAUGGAUACCUCAGCCCACGAGGGCCUGAACAACGGCCUGGUCAAUGGCCUGCACCCAGCCCAGGGCUCCACAGAGCCUGUGAAUGGCCACCUGCCCGGGGGCUGCAUCGACAGGGUCGCCCAGGAACUGAAGGCCUUUGUGUCGUCAACAUUUAAGAAACAAUUUGUACUCACCCUGAGUGAGCUUAAACGGUUAUUUAACCUUCACUUAGCCAGUCUGCCUCCAGGACAUACCUUGUUCAGUGGCAUUUCAGACAAAAUGUUACAGGACAUGGUGUUGGACACUGGCUGCAAACAGAUUUUGGUGCCUCCUCUUGUUCUCAGUUUCCUCCACAGACUGCUGCCUCACCAGAUGAACUAAAGGUCUAUGCACUUUGGGAAGCUGGUGACACUUACGAUCAGCAUCGCCAAGUUUUGCUUGAAAUCUUUUCGAAGAACUACCGAGUGCGCAGGAAUGUCAUCCAGAACCAGCUGAGUCAGGAGUGUGGGGAGGAUCUAAACAAGCAGGAGGUGGAUAGAGUGUUAAAGGACUGUUGUGUCAGCUACGGUGGAAUGUGGUAUCUUAAGGGGACGGUGCAGUCCUGACAGCGGUGGCAGCGGUGUCAGGCGAUCUCGGGGACGCAAGAGGAACCCACAGCAGGCAGCACAGCCGGAGCAAUGCCGUGGCCUCGGCAGCCAGGCCGGGAUCUGAGCUGCUCUGGGGCACGUGGGCAUCGCGGGCAGCCACUGACAUCCCAACACCCAGAGUUCGCAUGGCCUCCGAGGCACAGGAGCCGCCGGGAAGGCACCACGGGACCCUGUCUACAGCUUGAUUAUCUGGGAUUUCUAAUGUAUUGCAAUUCUCCUUCUGUUUCGUUAUGAAAAAAUAAAACCAUAUAGUGACACAGA